GAGAAGGAAGAGGAUGUUGUACAUGGGCAGAAAGGUGAAAAUUGUGGCCAGAGGCAGAUUGUGCUACCAGGUAAAUAAGCCCAGGCUCUUGUGCUGGACGAUGCAAGGUCACUGGAACACUGAUGAGCCAUAACAGCUGAGGCCAUUCUAGAAUAGGUAGCUUUAGCCUACCAGGCUGCUGACUGCAGAUACAUGCCUGCAUCCAGAUGAGUCCAGAAAAGCAACCUAGACACCACUGUCAAAGCCAUUGAAAAGAAUCACACUGCUAAACCAGUAGCAGCUUUUGUCUUCUUCUCAGGUUGUAUACAUGCAGGGAAAAAGUGUUUCUAACACAUAGACUUCUAUAUUCCAGCAUAAAGAUGUAUUAGGUGCAUUUAUACUUUUACAUGGAAGCCUGUUUCAACAUGAAUGGAGCCCAGAUAUUUAUGUAGGCCAGUAAUUGGAGUGUAUUUUCCUGUUCAAUUUCACAUUGUCUAGAAAAGAGUUUCUCAUGAUCCAUGACUUUCUAGUUAGAUUCAAAAGAAAACAUCUUGCAGCUACUGCCCUAUUGCCAUGGCCACACAUCACUGCCUUCUAGACAUGGGAAGUUGGUGACAAUCCUAGUUAUACCCUGAUUUUGGACAAAUUUUACAAGAAGAAUAAGACUUCUACUUCUCUAUGUCCACAUGCACCUGGAACAGUGCUAGGCCUAUGCUUACAAAUUGAUUGGUUCAGGUCACCGCCAUGAGCCUCAGGACAGAAAAUUGCCGGAUAUGAGAGAGAGAGAGAUUUGACUGGGCUAAGAAAGAAAUGAACAUGAUUU
This 802-nucleotide long non-coding RNA is filed under the name Pongo abelii (Sumatran orangutan). RNAcentral's name for it is "lincRNA". The record is from RNAcentral. Lineage: Eukaryota; Metazoa; Chordata; Mammalia; Primates; Hominidae.